UAGAAGAAAACACAAUCUAGUGAAUAACGGUUGUUGAAAAUGGAGUGAAUUUCUUGUACAUGUGUGUGAACAAGGUAGUUUGUGUGAAUUAAUAAUGAAAUUUAUUGCAGUCUUUAGAAGAAACUAUGUACACGAAUAUGCAUUAAGCUGUGGAUAGGAAGAUGCGGAGUGGAAAGUGUGAAACUUUACAAUAGUAGCGUCCAAUUGUAAGACCAGAUAAUAAAGAAACAUUAUAGAAGAUGGGUAGAAAAGUGCAAUUGAAAGUUGGUGCAAUUGGAGUAAAGGUGUUAUAAAAAGAAUCGGGAUUUAAUACAAAUUGAAAGUUACAAUUUCGCCCACAAAAGUCUUAACUCCCUUAAAUGUACACAUACCUAUGUAUACAUACAGUCAUGCACACCAUCUACAGACUGAUUGGAAGGCAAAACUACGAGUAUAACAAGGGAGUGAUUCCGGCUAUACAGCGCCUCCAAAGCCAUAUGUAAAUGGUUGUGCAAUAAACUGCUGUGUAGAGUAUUUGUAAGUACGUAUUUUAAAGAAUUACUCUAAAAAACCAAGAACGAAUUACCUCUCUUGUAAGAAAUGCAUUCAUGUCAAAUAAAUAUAU
Molecule: long non-coding RNA, 604 nt
Organism: Anastrepha obliqua
Lineage: Eukaryota; Metazoa; Arthropoda; Insecta; Diptera; Tephritidae
Exons: 4
Source: RefSeq, a predicted model, not a curated record